GUCCUGAUAGCUUAGUUGGUAAAGAAUCUGUCUGCAAUGCAGGAGACCUGGUUCGAUUCCUGGGACA
RNAcentral lists this transfer RNA (67 nucleotides) under Ovis aries (sheep). It matches the Rfam family "tRNA". From Rfam's summary of the family: Transfer RNA (tRNA) molecules are approximately 80 nucleotides in length. The record is from Rfam by way of RNAcentral. Lineage: Eukaryota; Metazoa; Chordata; Mammalia; Artiodactyla; Bovidae.